RNAcentral lists this ribosomal RNA (491 nucleotides) under uncultured bacterium. RNAcentral's name for it is "partial 16S ribosomal RNA". It matches the Rfam family "Bacterial small subunit ribosomal RNA", at positions 29 to 506 of the family's 1533-position model. The record is from RNAcentral.
AGUGAACGCUGGCGGUAGGCCUAACACAUGCAAGUCGAACGGCAGCACAGUAAGAGCUUGCUCUUACGGGUGGCGAGUGGCGGACGGGUGAGGAAUACAUCGGAAUCUACUUUUUCGUGGGGGAUAACGUAGGGAAACUUACGCUAAUACCGCAUACGACCUACGGGUGAAAGCAGGGGAUCUUCGGACCUUGCGCGAUUGAAUGAGCCGAUGUCGGAUUAGCUAGUUGGCGGGGUAAAGGCCCACCAAGGCGACGAUCCGUAGCUGGUCUGAGAGGGUGAUCAGCCACACUGGAACUGAGACACGGUCCAGACUCCUACGGGAGGCAGCAGUGGGGAAUAUUGGACAAUGGGCGCAAGCCUGAUCCAGCCAUACCGCGUGGGUGAAGAAGGCCUUCGGGUUGUAAAGCCCUUUUGUUGGGAAAGAAAAGCAGCAGGUUAAUACCCCGCUGUUCUGACGGUACCCAAAGAAUAAGCACCGGCGAACUUCGU